This is a long non-coding RNA of Anarrhichthys ocellatus (wolf-eel), 8536 nucleotides long. RefSeq lists it as uncharacterized. The record is from RefSeq and is a predicted model, not a curated record. NCBI's taxonomy places the organism in Eukaryota, Metazoa, Chordata, Actinopteri, Perciformes, Anarhichadidae. The transcript is spliced from 2 exons.
CUCGCCCGAUACACCCUCCCCUCCUCCUCUCUCCCUCCCUCCCUCUCCUCCAUUAGGAUUCAGUUGAGGGUUCGGCUCCGUGAGUAGGUUAGCCAUGCGUGUCGUGGCGAGAUGCAGUGAAUGAUAAUGAACUAUGCAAAUGUGUGUGUGUGUGUGUGUGCAAGGGAGGAGGUGGCGCUCCUGCUGUAUCGCUCCCUCCAUCCAUCCUUCCACCCAUUCCUCCUCCACCUCUUACUCGUUGGUGGUGUGUCAGCUGGAAGGACGGCCCCCGUGCUCUGACACACUUGCACUCACGCUGAAACACACACCUCCGCUAUGUGUCACUACCCAUUCCACCUGCCUCUCGCUGUCAUUCCCCGCUCUCCGCUCCAUCUACCUACGCUUGCUCGUUUCCCUCCUUUUUUUGUUUUUUGCUUUUUUUGCUCUCUCUGUCUUUCUCUCCACCCUUCCUUGUUCUCAUCCUCACCCCAUCCCCCCCAUACGCUGUGUGUCACCGCCGCCAGGAAGAAAAAGACAAAUGCCCCGGCCAACGAAAGUGAUAAAGAGAGAAAGAGGAGGAAAGGGAGAAAAAAAAGAGCAGAAGAGGAGAAGACCGCGGAAGCUGGAGUGUGCGCUUGAAACGCGGCAGCGUUCCAUCCAUCCACCUUGAGCCCGACUCUUCUUUGAUGGAAUACCCCGGGACAGCGGAGGGCAGAAGAAGGGAAAAGAAGGAGAAGAAAAAGUGGAGGUGAAGGAGGACCGGGAGAAGAACACAAGGACUGAGAAGGCAGGACGGACAGCGCUCGCCUCAGGAAGGGUCUACGUGGAGGCGGUGCGGCGUCGAUAGGCCAUGCCCUUCACUUGCGCCUGCUUCUGCGGUCUGAACGGCUUCUGCCGCAGGCGGGAGAAGAAGAAGAAAAAGGAGCAAGUGGAGGAGGAGGGUGAGGAGGUGGAGCGAUUGAAGGAUCAGGAGACGGUGGUGUGACGGCAGCGCCGUCCUCACCUUCCUCAGGGUUUUAUCCUUUAUCCUUUAACAGACUGGAAUGUACGCCACUUGGUUACCGCUGCUCAGCACAGAGAGCAUGCAUGAGGAUACUUUAACAGGGAUGGUUGGGGGGGUUCAGCGGGCACAGGCUUUUAUCGGAAAAUUCAUUUUAAUUUGAAAACAGAAAACCGUUUCUGUGACUAAGGCUUCAAGGUUUGACGUAUUUUUCUACUUUUCGAGCUGAGUAAACUCAACAACAGCAAUGCCGUCUCAAGCCAUAUUCCUCAAGAAAAAAAAGCCUGUAAACUGAGCUCAUUCCCCUCACCCAUCCUUGCUGAACUCUAAUCAGCAGACUGGGAACUUUGCUUCUGCUGAUGUGAUUCCAAAAAGCAUUUCUUAUCUGUUUGAUCCAUUUCUCGCCAGAGCUGGUGUACUGUAUCAGGUGCGAAGAGACGACGGGCCCUAGAAAUCCAUUAUUUCCCCUCGGUCACACUCCCUCAGCGAGGCCGCGUCCCUCCCCUCUCCCCCGUAAUUGCCGCUCCGCAAUUCUCCUCCUCACCUAGCUGCUUGUGUUAAACCAACUUAGCAGAAACUUCAGCCAAGUGAAAAAAAGUGCAUAGUAAUUUCCAAAGUCACCCGUGGAGGGCUGGGAGCCCCAUUUCGGCUUUCACGCCUGAGCUGGGCCCGAUCGAAAGUGGAGCAGCUGUCCAAUCAGCGGCUUAGCUGGAGUGUGAAGAUCGGAGUCAAGGGGUCAGGAUCAGCAACAGGGCUUUGCGCGAAGUCCCUCCUCUGAUGCUGUAGCGUCUCCGUCUCAUCAAUAGGCAGACAAGUAAUUGCAAAACACACACACACACACACACACACACCGAUGCGGGCCUAUCCGUUAAUGUCCCCCUCGGUGGGAGUGGAGUGUCUGUCCUUAAAUGCCACCACGGUGCGAUUCCAUCUGUCGCCCGUGUGCGAGCGCGUGACUCUGGAAGCGCGCGUGUGCGUGCUUGUGUAUCUCCCCGGCUGCAACAAUAGACUUUCAAAACCUGAAACAAGUGGCCAAGAGAUCUAUUCAGCUGCCGUAGAACGGCCUUUUCACGAUCGCACAUCGAGACACAAACAAACACACACACACACACACACACACACACACACACACACACAGGUCUCAUUAGGCGCAUGUGAUUAUGCGCGGCACGUCCGGUCGUGCGGCAGAGAUGUAAUUAACCUUUUCCGGCAGGAAACAGAUGCCUGGAUGUCACGCGCAACACACGCAAUGACGAUACGCGCACGCACAUACACACACGUCUGCUGUCAGGGAAACAAAGCCGACGUCACGGUGUCACAGGGAAACAAAGCCCCAAAAGCGCCGCCUGGCACUCUGUGAUAAUCCCCUCACGCGUAUUUACAUUCAGGGUUUAGAAUACGCCUCGGUGCCGCCGACACCCAGCGUUUCACUCCGCUACAACCCCCCGCCUGCCUCCGCUCAUCCAUCCUCUCUCUCUCUCCUCUCCGUCUACCUUCCAUCACAUUCGUCCUUUGCCUCCUGCUAUCUCUUCCUCUCUUCCGUCAUUUACAUCCCAUCCCGAAAAACUCUCUCCUUCGCGGGACUUGAUCUGUUUGCCGUCAGUAUAUCGUACGCGCCCUUGCAUGGCAUCACCCGCAGAUUAGCCCCCCCACACACACACACACUCCCUCCCUGAAUAUCGGGGAUUUCUUCAAGCAGCCCAAAAAAAAUGCUUUACGACAGAUUAAUGGACGGUCCCGAUUGCGUCCGUCUGUGCUUCUGCACCGGAUUGGAUCGUCUGUUUACUCAUUCUCUCGCUGCACGCGGCGAGACGAGACAAAGCUUACGCCAUUUCACAGUGCGGAGCACCUAUUAUGAUUCACUGUGUUACGACGCGGCCCUAAUGAGAAAGAGAGAGAAUGAGAAGAGGGGCUGGAGGAGGAUAGGGGAGGAAGAGAGAGAGAGAAAAGACGGUAAUGAGAGCGAGGGCUGGAUACGGACGAGGGGGGCUAAUGCUAGACAGAGCAGUCAUGCUAAUUGGCUACAGUGGAUAACUUUCUGAGGCGGGGGUGAGUGUGUGUGGUGAUGCGGCGGGGGUGGGAGGGGGGGCAGAGAAAAGAACAGCCUGAUCUGUCGGCGUUACACUCGUUUAACGCUCCCUCCAUUUCACUUCUUUAAUGAGAGAAAUAUUCGCUCCAGUAAUGGCGAAAGAAUUGAAAUUGGUAACGAUUUGUUGCUCACACACACACACACACAUACACACACACACACACACACACACACUCCGAGGUGGCAAAGGGGAAGAGGGGGGCUGUAGGCAGGAUAUUGUUGGUGUAAAGUGUGUGUUUUCCCCCUCAAGCACCACAAUCCAGUCCUUUAUGGAUCAUGGCAAUUUUCAGGGAUUGUAACUCAAGGACAAACAGCUAAAAAUAGAAAGAGUGGUGCAUGACUCCUGCGACAGCGGGGAGGGAAGGUGGGAGGAGGUGUGUGUGUGUGUGAGUGAGAGUGUGUGCGGGUCGGACGGCGAAAAUGAGUCCUGUCGCAUUAGAUUUGGGUCAGAAAACGAGGGGGAAAGCCGACGAAGUGGAGUGUCGCAGACGGCGGUGGAGAUUCAUCACUCGCUGCUCGCGCUCGUCUCCUUCAACACAGAGGGUCCGUUCCCCGUUUAAAGGAAUAGGUUUUCAGAAAAACGCUUAUUUACCUUCCUGUCCUCAUUAGUUGAGAGGAACGAUACCUGUAGUAUGUUACGCGUUGGGGGAAAUGGGAAACAACUAGCUUAGCAUAAAGAUGGAACUCUUGGCAAGACAGCCAAUAAGCGUAUUUCCCAAAAUGUCAAACUAUGCCUUGAAUCAAGUGGGUAGUGUGUUGGUUUAACUUCUGUAUUACAUAAGAGAUUGAGCCACAUAACCCUGUCGAUGAAAGCGCCCCGCUCAAGGAAAUAUAACCUCCUCAUCACAAGCCGUGUUUCCAAUCACUUGUCAAGCGAAUUUUAAGAAAACGUAUGAAAUGUCGCAAAAAAAAAGAAAUGGGAAUUAGGCACGUUUGUCAACUGGUUUGGGUAAUGAGUGCGAUGAGGGGGGCUAAUGCUAGACAGAGCAUACUUUGAUCAGAAGUUGGGACCAUAGACCAAGCAUGGCCGUGAUCUGUCAGUGAACAAAGUAGAAGAAGAAACAAAACCAUUUACCAGCAUCAUCUAACCAUCUACGAUAGUAAAAUGGAGAGUUCUGAAGGAAUUUGUUUCAAUUGGGCCAGUUUUAGUUGUUCUUUCAUGUAUGCUAGUAUUGGCCCUGUUUCAUGUCCAGAGAAGACAAUAUAAAUAUACAUCCGUGAACGAAAGAAACAGCGGAUUAGUCAUGUGAGUUAAAUGUUUGCUUUGUCCGAAUUUAAUCGGCAAAGGCAUUUUUUCAUAUCCCGUUGACUCGUUGAGACAAAAAAACACCUCAAAUAAGCGCCAAAACGUUGCAAAGUUAUAUGGAAAUCUGCCGUUUACAUACAGCUUUUCGAAUGUGAUACUUCAACACUUCAACACCGAAUGGCUUUUGAGUAGUUCAGUCUCACUCAGACACCCAAAUCCUACUGCUGCAACUGCCACCAAGUGUCACUGCCUACAUUUUGAAUUUGGGGUGAAGGGCAAAUAGGUUCAUGACAAUGCUAGUACCUUUCUUCAGGGAAUGGAACCCUCAAUCCUUACAUUACUGUUGCUGCAGCACUACACAACUCUUUUUCCCUGCCGUGCAUCAGACGGUUGUCCCUCCAUUGACAUUAUCCUUGCCUCACCCACAUCUGUUCUGGUUUUCCUAAUGAAGAGGAAAGAGAAGGUCCCACCAAGGCUAAUUAAGAGGACUGAGAUGCAGGCAUGCCGACAGACUGCCGAUAGAGUCAGGAGGGAAGCGCUGAGAGCUCCCUACCAGCCCUGGAGCAUCAGAGGAGGGAAUGGGGAAAAGGGAUGCAGAGAGAGGAAAUAAAAACGAGCGGAGGAAGAGGAGAGAGAGAGAGAUAUAUAGUGUAAUUGAGACUGUAAAGGGUUUUGUCAGAAGCACCUGUCAGGGUCAAGUUAAAACGACUGGUGCGGGAAGACGAGAGGGAUGGGGGAGCGGAGAAGGGGGGCCAAUUGGAGUCAGGAUCCCGGCGAGGAGAGGCCCUCGUCCAUGCCAACCUCACCUGAUUGCCAAUUUGUGCCAGUCCACAGACAUCAAACGGCCAAUACGAGUCACACGCAGACACAAAAAGCGCCGAUACGCAUCCAAUCUCACACACACACAUGUCCGAACUCACACUGUCAACCCACCUACGCCGGUUGAUUGGACCCAUCUAGCCACUUAACAAGGUGUCCGCGGCGCAGACCUAAGCCGCGUGAUUGGAAGAUAAAGCCGCCACCGUUAAAUAUCUAAUUCUCCCCCAACGUCUAGAUGAAAAUAAGGUGCAGCGCUGAUUAGAUUACAGCCUGCUGUGCCAACCUCGGAUCUGCGCCAUGUUCAUUACUAGCCCUCAACCCUCCCCCCGCCAACCCAGGCCAACCCUAUCUCCGUUCAUGUCCUUCUGCCAACCACAAAUACUCUAUUUUGUGAUGGAAAAGCAAUUCUGACACCCUCGAGAGUUGAGGUCGAUGCCUGAGGAGUGAUGAAAUUAAGUUGAGUGAAAUUUAUUUAUAAAUCGCUGUUUAAGCUGCACCUGGCAAAUUGAACAUGUUGACAGCCCCCCGGACGCCAGCGAGACGUAACUGAUUGAAAUUUAGGACCGCUGCGAUGAGAAAUUCUGUUAGGGGCGGUGUCAGUGAACGCCCCCCGCUCUUGCUCCGGAGAGGGUGGAGGUGAUGAAGAGGAUCAGGCAUCACCCUCUGGGGGCAAAGUUCUCACGUGGUGCUGUUUGGGGUUUUACCUUUUUAAUUCAAUUCCGUCGAACAUGUUUGCUGCCAUCAAACAUUUUGACAGCAGAGUUUCAUUAAGGCAAACAGUAAAAACCCCAAUGUUUUCUCCUUUGCUGAUAGCUUAAAAAAAACCAUUGCAUCCUAGAAGUCCAAUAAUACGACUUACCCUCCGAGCCACCCGAAAUUAUGACAUCAUCAAGGUUGUUUUUUCCAGACUUUAGAAAGAGAGCCACAGCAUCUACAAACUGUUUUAAGUGCCCCUUAAAAUCAAGUAUAAUUAAAAAACACUGACUUUAUUUGCACUACUUAUUGCUGUCUGUAAAUACUCCCCAGGAACAUUUACGGGACACUUUGUGGAAUGUAAUCUGGUUCACUGGCACGGUUUGGGUUCCCAAGCGAUUUUUCUUCAUAGUCUCAAGUGUCAGAAUUUAAUACGAGUAAUGAGAACACUUUUCUUCUUCUUUUUUAUUUUUUUAAACCAGCAGCAGAGUCAGCAGCAACUCUGCCAGCAGAAUUCCCACUCUAUGUCCAAUUUAUGUGUUUGAACGCUGAAACUCUCCCGGAGGCUUCGGUCUUAGUGGGCUGAAGGUUAGAGGAGAUGCACAAAUCGAGAUGGACAUCAUAUUUUUCUCAUCUCCUCAACAUCCACUCAACUCUUCAACAACUUCUGCAGCUGCUUUAGGCUAUCGCCACCUUCAGCUAUUUCAUACCGUCUCAAAAGGAGGGGAGGGGAAAAAAAGUAUAUUGAGCUGUGUUUUGAUCAGAUAAAAACUUUUCUAAUUGGCGUGGGGGCUGUAAACAGGUCGUAUCUGAUGCCAAAAACAUCAUCACCAAAUAAAUCAAUUCCUCUCCUUUUUUUUUCCUCAGCCUUUUCUCUUCAUCCUGCUCCACCUCCUGUUCUCUCUCACCCUCUCUCCCCACAUGCACACUCCCACUUCCACUGGUCGAUAGUGGAGCGGGUAUCGAGCAGUGGCUGUGGUCUAAAUGAGAGAUUGAUUUCUCUAGGGGGCCGGGGGUGUGACCAUGGUGUUUGAGUCACCGUCAGAGACCUCUUCGCCAAAACGCUCGCUGAUGGAGUGUGUGUGUGUGUGUGUGCGGGCCACUGGCGCACGCUUUAAACACCUUUUGAUUUAGUUGUGCUCAAGAACAAUACUUUUCAUUAGAGGCUGAUAGCAUUCAUUAGGAGCAAUACAGCGGGGCCGCUAAUGAGCCCAACACUUUGUUCUCCUUGAGACAAAGAAGCGUGGCAUGAACACGCGCAGGAAGACAACACUUGUCCUGAUUGCCAGCUUGAGUUGAUUCUCAGAACCGUCGGUUCAUCAGAGCUCUUCGGAAGCGAAAAAAGGGCAGCCAGGCGUUUGAGCCCCAUUCAUAACGUUUACUGAGCCGCUAAUAUCUAUGUGAACCAACAGAAAAAGCGAGCACCCCCCCAUACAAAGCCACUGAGCACAUAGCAGAAAACGAGUCUGGCGCUUUCCAAAAUCCGCAUGUUAGAUGAGUCCGCACUUUGACCUUGUUCGACGGGAUUUGUGUUUGUCGCUUGUGGCGUGGUGCGUAAAUUCUUCCACCCCAACCUGUUAGCCUCCCGCGCACGCUGCCGCCCGACGACACACACGAGCAGCGGGCCCGUCCGUCGGCGUGUUCGGAUGUUUUGUAUUAUUCAUAUCUCUGGGCCUUUUGUGGCCCAGGGGGAACAAGGCGAAGCAGAAAACACAGAGAGAGAGGAGAACGGAGGAGGACCAUUUGGCGGAAUAGCAUCGACGAGCGGUGAGAUACAUAAACAUGAGGUCAGAGCAGUGGGAGACGGAGAAGGAAGGAGAAAGGGCGAGAGGCAGAAAGUGUGUGUGGGGGGGGGGGGGGGCAGUUGACAAGCUCUUGCUCCGUUCCAGAAAAACCAACCGAUCAAUGCUAUGGCACGGCAGGGCACACACACACGCUCACACACAUAAACCCUGCAAGGUACUGUGUGUGUGUGUGUGUGUGUGUGUGUGUGUGUGUAUUUGUGUGGAGGAUGUGCUAGUGGUCCGCGUGCUGCAGGAGAAUGUUUGAAAUGCAGAGCACGUCAAGAGUCCUAGGGAGCUUAUUUUGCAGCAAAGCCUCAUUAAAUAGACACUUGCCUUAAAGCAAGGAUAUACUGCCAGGACCACACACACACACUAUGCACAUACACACACGCUCAACACCAGCACCAGAGAUUCUCUCAGGCAACGGAAAGCGACGCACACAAGAGGCUUCAGACAUAUUGAAUAGAAAUCUCUGUGGAGAAAUAAAAAACGCGGUGGAGUAAAUGUCCCCCACUCCUUAUUCCCCCCUGUUUCCUCAUAUGAAUAAAGUUGAAUCCAUCCACAACAUCACCCCCCACCCCCCUCCUAUCUCACACUAAUAUUGUAUUCAUGUAUAUUUGAUUGUGCCGACUCGGUGGAGAUCGGCGAUGCUGUAUCUUGUGUGCCUUUUUAAAAAUGCAUCUAUGAAUAAAUAAUGUCUGUAUCCGCUGAUUGAGAAAAAAUAAAAAAAAGCCAUAUUGCCAGAAAGCCAUGAUGAAAUGAUAAUGUAAUAUCUGUCGCCCGUGUUGAAUAAAACCUUUGUUUAUUUUAUUUUUAUGUUAUUCUCACUCAGUAAAUGAAACCUGCAGCUUUGCACAUGAUGACGUUCCCCUUGUACGGUUUGCCACUGAGUGUGUGUUUUAAUAAAGAGAGCGCCUCUUUCUAUA